This 523-nucleotide long non-coding RNA is filed under the name Prunus persica (peach). Its description in RNAcentral is "long non-coding RNA (PPER_LNC002110)". The record is from RNAcentral. Lineage: Eukaryota; Viridiplantae; Streptophyta; Magnoliopsida; Rosales; Rosaceae.
AUUCCAUCACGGAGUCUAGAACAAAGCCUUCCUUGUGAAGGAGAAAAAUAGAAGAGGGAUGUGGUGGCACAUGAAAGUCCAAAAAAGGAAAGAAACAAAGCAAGAUGACUUAUUCUUCUAUUAGCAUGUGGCAAGCUAACAGGUCCUUGAAGUCAAGGACUCACCUCAACGAGAAAUUAUAAAAUGGUACGGUAUCACCACGUCAGAUGGUGAUACUUCCACUCAGAUAUUGCCACGUAUCUUUUUAAAAAAAAAUCUUUAAAUUGUUUUUCCACCUACACAUUGGGUUCCAAUUUUAACCUUCAAAAGAAAAAUAAAAGAGAAAAAAAUAACUGUGGCGCAGCCUCCUCCUCUAUUAGUUCGCAGACCCCCUUUGCCGUGCCCUCCCUCUCUCCUCGGUCCAGUUCGAUGUCCCCUUGCCGCGACCUCCCUCUCUGUUUGUAUUCAGAGAGAGAGAGAGAGAGAGAGAGAGAGAGAGAGAGAGAGACAUAAAUGAACGAAAAGAGGGAGGGGCGACAGCAAG